CUAACACACGCAAGUCGAGCGGAAACGACACUAACAAUCCUUCGGGUGCGUUAAUGGGCGUCGAGCGGCGGACGGGUGAGUAAUGCCUAGGAAAUUGCCUUGAUGUGGGGGAUAACCAUUGGAAACGAUGGCUAAUACCGCAUGAUGCCUACGGGCCAAAGAGGGGGACCUUCGGGCCUCUCGCGUCAAGAUAUGCCUAGGUGGGAUUAGCUAGUUGGUGAGGUAAUGGCUCACCAAGGCGACGAUCCCUAGCUGGUCUGAGAGGAUGAUCAGCCACACUGGAACUGAGACACGGUCCAGACUCCUACGGGAGGCAGCAGUGGGGAAUAUUGCACAAUGGGCGAAAGCCUGAUGCAGCCAUGCCGCGUGUAUGAAGAAGGCCUUCGGGUUGUAAAGUACUUUCAGUUGUGAGGAAGGGUGUGUAGUUAAUAGCUGCGCAUCUUGACGUUAGCAACAGAAGAAGCACCGGCUAACUCCGUGCCAGCAGCCGCGGUAAUACUGAGGGUGCGAGCGUUAAUCGGAAUUACUGGGCGUAAAGCGCAUGCAGGUGGUUCAUUAAGUCAGAUGUGAAAGCCCGGGGCUCAACCUCGGAACUGCAUUUGAAACUGGUGAACUAGAGUACUGUAGAGGGGGGUAGAAUUUCAGUGUAGCGGUGAAAUGCGUAGAGAUCUGAAGGAAUACCAGUGGCGAAGGCGGCCCCCUGGACAGAUACUGACACU
Molecule: ribosomal RNA, 719 nt
Filed under: Vibrio sp. COH-27
Lineage: Bacteria; Pseudomonadati; Pseudomonadota; Gammaproteobacteria; Vibrionales; Vibrionaceae
Description: bacterial SSU rRNA
Rfam family: Bacterial small subunit ribosomal RNA
Source: RNAcentral